RNAcentral lists this ribosomal RNA (1126 nucleotides) under Lactiplantibacillus plantarum. RNAcentral's name for it is "bacterial SSU rRNA". It matches the Rfam family "Bacterial small subunit ribosomal RNA", at positions 332 to 1457 of the family's 1533-position model. Lineage: Bacteria; Bacillati; Bacillota; Bacilli; Lactobacillales; Lactobacillaceae. The record is from RNAcentral.
CAAACUCCUACGGGAGGCAGCAGUAGGGAAUCUUCCACAAUGGACGAAGUCUGAUGGAGCACGCGCGUGAGUGAAGAAGGGUUUCGGCUCGUAAACUCUGUGUAAAGAAGAACAUAUCUGAGAGUAACUGUUCAGGUAUUGACGGUAUUUAACCAGAAAGCCACGGCUAACUACGUGCCAGCAGCCGCGGUAAUACGUAGGUGGCAAGCGUUGUCCGGAUUUAUUGGGCGUAAAGCGAGCGCAGGCGGUUUUUUAAGUCUGAUGUGAAAGCCUUCGGCUCAACCGAAGAAGUGCAUCGGAAACUGGGAAACUUGAGUGCAGAAGAGGACAGUGGAACUCCAUGUGUAGCGGUGAAAUGCGUAGAUAUAUGGAAGAACACCAGUGGCGAAGGCGGCUGUCUGGUCGUAACUGACGCUGAGGCUCGAAAGUAUGGGUAGCAAACAGGAUUAGAUACCCUGGUAGUCCAUACCGUAAACGAUGAAUGCUAAGUGUUGGAGGGUUUCCGCCCUUCAGUGCUGCAGCUAACGCAUUAAGCAUUCCGCCUGGGGAGUACGGCCGCAAGGCUGAAACUCAAAGGAAUUGACGGGGGCCCGCACAAGCGGUGGAGCAUGUGGUUUAAUUCGAAGCUACGCGAAGAACCUUACCAGGUCUUGACAUACUAUGCAAAUCUAAGAGAUUAGACGUUCCCUUCGGGGACAUGGAUACAGGUGGUGCAUGGUUGUCGUCAGCUCGUGUCGUGAGAUGUUGGGUUAAGUCCCGCAACGAGCGCAACCCUUAUUAUCAGUUGCCAGCAUUAAGUUGGGCACUCUGGUGAGACUGCCGGUGACAAACCGGAGGAAGGUGGGGAUGACGUCAAAUCAUCAUGCCCCUUAUGACCUGGGCUACACACGUGCUACAAUGGAUGGUACAACGAGUUGCGAACUCGCGAGAGUAAGCUAAUCUCUUAAAGCCAUUCUCAGUUCGGAUUGUAGGCUGCAACUCGCCUACAUGAAGUCGGAAUCGCUAGUAAUCGCGGAUCAGCAUGCCGCGGUGAAUACGUUCCCGGGCCUUGUACACACCGCCCGUCACACCAUGAGAGUUUGUAACACCCAAAGUCGGUGGGGUAACCUUUUAGGAACCAGCCGCC